This 178-nucleotide ribosomal RNA is filed under the name Clostridioides difficile. RNAcentral's name for it is "partial 23S ribosomal RNA". It matches the Rfam family "Bacterial large subunit ribosomal RNA", at positions 2206 to 2382 of the family's 2925-position model. The record is from RNAcentral. Lineage: Bacteria; Bacillati; Bacillota; Clostridia; Peptostreptococcales; Peptostreptococcaceae.
UUGUAGUACUGGGACUCUAACCAUAGGCCAUGAAUCUGGUCUUGGGACACUGUCAGGUGGGCAGUUUGACUGGGGCGGUCGCCUCCCAAAAGGUAACGGAGGCGCUCAAAGGUUCUCUCAGGACGGUCGGAAAUCGUACGUAGAGUGUAAAGGCAAAAGAGAGCUUGAUUGCAAGACA